AAUCAGGAAUGGAGGACUAGGUAGUAGGACUGGGAGUGGAGAUUGAUGUUGAGCCUGGAACUGGACCUGAGUGAGAUGUGGGGACUGACCUCGGGGCAGGGUUUGAGGCAAGGGUAGAGCUUGGGUAUUAGGCAAGGACAGAGGUUGGGGAGAGGGAAGUACUGGAAAUUUAUGGAAUAUAGAUGUAUUUGUAAUGCCAUUGAAGAAUACAAACAUGGAGGAACGGCCACGUUGGACAAGAACAGUAGGAUGCAGAGACUCGCUGUGCAGAGAUGGGAGACCCCAGAAGAGCUGCACAUAUUUCUGCUCUAAAUGGUCUUCAAAGCACUUAGAGUAUGGGGGCUGCUGAUGGAUGUGCUGCCCCUCUAGUUUGCCUUUAUUGGCCCCAAAAGGAAAGAAUUCUACCAUGUCAUGCUUAUCAGCAAUUGAGGCUAACAUUUUCCGUGAAGAAUUUAGUUGGUAGUUUUGUCUAAGUUGUGUUGGGAAAGAUCCUGGUUUCUUUCCAUUUUCUUUCCACAUCAGGAAAUCACACCUUUUUUUGACUUCUCUCUCCAGGAGUGCCAGAAUGUCAUGGCUGACAAAAGAGAUGUUAACAGGCUGUAUGACGUUGGCCACAGAGUGCCACCCUAAAGAGGCCUCAGAAGAAUGAAGGGUAAGAAGCUCCUCCAUGAAAUCAGAUGGCACAAAAUUGGAGGAAAAAGAGCCCUUGGCAUGAGGCUGCCACCAGGAGAAUUCUGAAGAUGCAGGGCAUGAAUGGUCAAUGCCUUUGAUUAUUGGGGCAUAGGUGGAUGUCUCACCAGAGCCACCUAGAGAUAACAUCUCUGCAAAAGGCUUCAAAAUGGAGCAGGUAACCUGCCUUGAGGAUAAAAUCUGCCAAGAGAUGCCCCUUCCUCCUCUCUUUGAUAUGCAGCCUCAGCCAAGUUUUCAUCUAAUAAAUAUUUACUGCUGGAAACUAAGAGACACAAGCAUCUGUAAGCCACGGGCUCUACCCUUCACCUCAAGUGCCUAUUUUAUCAGUGAAUGAAACCGAAGCCCAGAGAGGGUAAGUGACUUCUCUAAAUCAGACAGCAGUAAAUUUCAGAGCCCUAAUGAAUAAAUUCUCUACAUUCAUAAUGCUUCUACUUUACAUAAUAUUAAUAUGUAAUUUCUUAAAGUAAAAAGUAUGCCCUAAUAUUAAAAUUAAAGUAGCUGUAUGGUUAAGAAUAUUCACUUUGAGCUGGGCGCAGUGGCUCACGCCUGUAAUCCCAACACUUUGGGAGGCCAGGGCAGGUGGAUCACGAAGUCAAGAGAUCAAGACCGCGGUGAAACCCCGUCUCUAUUAAAAAUACAAAAAAAUUAGCCGGGCGUGGUGGCGGGCACCUGUAGUCCUAGCUACUCAGGAGGCUGAGGCAGGACAAUGGCGUGAACACUGGAGGCGGAGCUUGCAGUGAGCCGAGAUCUCUCCACUGCACUCCAGCCUGGGUGACAGAGCAAGACUCCAUCUCAAAAAAAAAAGAAUAUUGACUUUGUCCGUUAAAUACUGACAAAUUUAGGAAGUAACGAAAAGCUAUUUUUGGUACUCUAUCACAGCUUAGAUAACUUUUCCUUUCCACUCUUAGCAUCAACGUCUUCAUAGUUUUUUUUCCUAACCCCCUCUUAAAAUCUCUUUUCAAGAACUAUAUUACAUAUGACUCCCAGUAAUGUAUAAAAUAAUAGUUUAAAAUGUCAUCCCUCCCAGGAAAACAUUUCACCCAUUCUACAUAUAUUUACCUCCAUGCCCUAUAAUAAACUUACCAAAGCAUUUUAGGCAGCCUUUGGGAGGUGGCAGAGGUGGCUUCUGAUAGGAUGAGACUGUCUCACCAUUGACCCCAUGACAUCUUCCCAAUUUACCUACAUCACCACCCUGAAGUCUGCUCUUGGAUUUCACACUGCACUUGGUUUUAUUAUCUCCAAGGAGGCGUCUUUUCCAAAAGCUCUUAGAGUAAUAUGAUACCACCUGAGCAUGGUCAGUAUAGAUAAACUAUUCAUUUAGGACUUUCAUAUGUUCCCAGUUUCCUAGGAAGUUUCCUCAAUGCUCACGCCCUCACAUCCUGACCACUGUCCCUGGGAUAAGUCACUUGGAGGCAGCUGUUCUCGGGAUCCCCAAAAGCCUGAAGCAGAACAUGUUCUGAGGCAAAAUCCUCUAUAAUUAUAUUUUAAAACAGUAGUUUUAUCCCAGUUCCUUGGGAGACCAAGGCAAGUGGAUCACCUGAAGUCAGGAGUUCAAGACCAGCUUGGCCAACAUGGUGAAACCCAGUCUCUAUUAAAGAUACAAAAAUUUAACCAGGCAUGGUGGCAGACACCUAUAAUCCCAGGUACUUGGGAGGCUGGGGCAGGAGAAUAGAUUGAAUCCAGAAGGGGAGGUUAUAGUGAGAUGAGAUAACACCACUAUACUCCAGCCUGGGCAACAGAGUGAGACUCUGUCUAAAAAAAAAUAAAAAUAAUACAACAGUAGUUAUAAGAUGUUCUUCAUACAUUCACACAACAAAUAUUUAUUGAACUUUACUAUAUAGUAUUCCUACUACUGUGAAAAUAUCAGUAAAAGAAGACAUUGCCUCUGCCCUUGGACAGGUCAUAGUCCAGGAAGUGAGACCUGCAAACAAAUAUAAUAAAAUAUGCUACAAAAAGCUGUAAAACAAUCAAAGAUAAUACACAAUGGGAAGAUAGAUAAAGAAGUAAAAUUCUUCUGCCAGGAGGAAGGGAAAGCAGAGUUCAGGGAAUACUUCAGAGAGUUGAUGCCAACUCUCUGAUGUUGGGCCUUGUGAGAUAUUAACAACCUCCUCCUCCUCCUCCUCCUCCUCCUCCUCCUCUUCUUUUUAAUUGACUUUUAUUUUUUAUAGAGGUUUUAUGUCAACAGGAAAAGUAAGUGGGAAACUUCCCACAUACCGUCUAUCCCCACACAGGCACAGCCUCCCCAACUGUCAACAUCCCAUACUAGAGUGGUACAUUUGUUACAAUUGAUGAACGUACAAUUACACAUCACUAUUACCCAAAGUCCAUAGUUUACAUUAACAGUCACUCUUUUUUUUUUUUUGAGACGGAGUCUUGCUCUGUCACCCAGGCUGGAGUGCAGUGGCCGGAUCUCAGCUCACUGCAAGCUCCUCCUCUCGGGUUCACGCCAUUCUCCUGCCUCAGCCUCCCGAGUAGCUGGGACUACAGGCACCCGCCACUUCGCCCGGCUAGUUUUUUGUAUUUUUUAGUAGAGACGGGGUUUCACCGUGUUAACCAGGAUGGUCUCGAUCUCCCGACCUCGUGAUCCGCCCGUCUCGGCCUCCCAAAGUGCUGGGAUUACAGGCUUGAGCCACCGCGCCCGGCCUAACAGUCACUCUUGAUGUUGCACAUUCUGUGGGUUUUGACAAAUGUAUAAUGACACAUAUCCACCAUUGUACUAUCAUAUAGAAUAGUUCACUGCCCUAAAAAUCCUCUGUGCUCUUUUUUCAUCCCUCCCUCCUCACUAGCCCCUGACAACCAUUGCCGUUUUUACUGCCUUCAUAGUUUUGCCCAUUUUCGAAUGUCAUACACUUAGAAUCAUACAGCCUUUUCAGAUUGUGUUCUUUCACUUAAUAAUACACAUUUAGGUUUCCUCCUUUUUUGUGUUUUGCCAGUUUAUUUCUUUUCAAUGGCAUAUGAUGUUCCAUUUUUGGAUAUACAAAAAAAGUUUACCUACUGAAAGACAUUUCUGUUGCUUCUAAUUUGGACAAUUAUGAAUAAAGCUGCUAUACAAACUUUCUUUUUAAAAAAGUUUUUAUGGAAACAUAAUUUGUUUACUAUAUAAUUCACUCACCGAAAGUAUACCACUCAACAGCUUUGAGCAUAUUCACAGUGUUGUGCAUGCAUCACCACAAUCAAUUUUAGAACAUUUUCAUCACCCCAGAAAUAAACUGCUUCACUUAGCCUUCACCCUUCAAUAUUUGCAUUCCUCCCUAUGUUACCAGUAAUCUACUCUCUGUCUCUAUCUAUUUUUCAUUUCUAGACAUUUCAUCUAAAUGGAAUCAUACAAUAUGUGGAUUUUU
Molecule: long non-coding RNA, 4031 nt
Organism: Papio anubis (olive baboon)
Lineage: Eukaryota; Metazoa; Chordata; Mammalia; Primates; Cercopithecidae
Source: Ensembl